GACGUAGGGGGCAAGCGUUGUCCGGAAUUAUUGGGCGUAAAGCGCUCGUAGGCGGAUCGGUAAGUCUGUGAAGAAAGACCCGGGCUCAACUCGGGGAACGGCAUAGAUACUGCUGAUCUUGAGACAGUCAGAGGAUGAUGGAAUUCCAGGUGUAGCGGUGAAAUGCGUAGAUAUCUGGAGGAACACCGGUGGCGAAGGCGGCAUCCUGGACCGACACUGACGCUGAGGAGCGAAAGCCAGGGGAGCAAACGGG
RNAcentral lists this ribosomal RNA (253 nucleotides) under uncultured bacterium. RNAcentral's name for it is "partial 16S ribosomal RNA". It matches the Rfam family "Bacterial small subunit ribosomal RNA", at positions 524 to 776 of the family's 1533-position model. The record is from RNAcentral.